This 235-nucleotide ribosomal RNA is filed under the name uncultured bacterium. RNAcentral describes it as "partial 16S ribosomal RNA". It matches the Rfam family "Bacterial small subunit ribosomal RNA", at positions 96 to 334 of the family's 1533-position model. The record is from RNAcentral.
UGGCGGACGGGUGAGUAAUGUCUGGGAAACUGUCUGAUGGAGGGGGAUAACUACUGGAAACGGUAGCUAAUACCGCAUAACGUCGCAAGACCAAAGAGGGGGACCUUCGGGCCUCUUGCCAUCGGAUGUGCCCAGAUGGGAUUAGCUAGUAGGUGGGGUAACGGCUCACCUAGGCGACGAUCCCUAGCUGGUCUGAGAGGAUGACCAGCCACACUGGAACUGAGACACGGUCCAG